Molecule: ribosomal RNA, 468 nt
Filed under: uncultured bacterium
Lineage: Bacteria
Description: partial 16S ribosomal RNA
Rfam family: Bacterial small subunit ribosomal RNA
Source: RNAcentral
GACGAACGCUAGCGGUGUGCUUAACACAUGCCAGUCGAACGGAAAGGCCCUGCUUUUGUGGGGUGCUCGAGUGGCGAACGGGUGAGUAACACGUGAGUAACCUGCCCUUGACUUUGGGAUAACUUCAGGAAACUGGGGCUAAUACCGGAUAGGAGCUCCUGCUGCAUGGUGGGGGUUGGAAAGUUUCGGCGGUUGGGGAUGGACUCGCGGCUUAUCAGCUUGUUGGUGGGGUAGUGGCUUACCAAGGCUUUGACGGGUAGCCGGCCUGAGAGGGUGACCGGCCACAUUGGGACUGAGAUACGGCCCAGACUCCUACGGGAGGCAGCAGUGGGGAAUAUUGCACAAUGGGCGGAAGCCUGAUGCAGCAACGCCGCGUGCGGGAUGACGGCCUUCGGGUUGUAAACCGCUUUCGCCUGUGACGAAGCGUGAGUGACGGUAAUGGGUAAAGAAGCACCGGCUAACUACGUG